UCGAGCGAACAGAUAAGGAGCUUGCUCCUUUGACGUUAGCGGCGGACGGGUGAGUAACACGUGGAUAACCUACCUAUAAGACUGGGAUAACUUCGGGAAACCGGAGCUAAUACCGGAUAACAUAUUGAACCGCAUGGUUCAAUAGUGAAAGGCGGCUUUGCUGUCACUUAUAGAUGGAUCCGCGCCGUAUUAGCUAGUUGGUAAGGUAACGGCUUACCAAGGCAACGAUACGUAGCCGACCUGAGAGGGUGAUCGGCCACACUGGAACUGAGACACGGUCCAGACUCCUACGGGAGGCAGCAGUAGGGAAUCUUCCGCAAUGGGCGAAAGCCUGACGGAGCAACGCCGCGUGAGUGAUGAAGGUCUUCGGAUCGUAAAACUCUGUUAUCAGGGAAGAACAAAUGUGUAAGUAACUGUGCACAUCUUGACGGUACCUGAUCAGAAAGCCACGGCUAACUACGUGCCAGCAGCCGCGGUAAUACGUAGGUGGCAAGCGUUAUCCGGAAUUAUUGGGCGUAAAGCGCGCGUAGGCGGUUUUUUAAGUCUGAUGUGAAAGCCCACGGCUCAACCGUGGAGGGUCAUUGGAAACUGGAAAACUUGAGUGCAGAAGAGGAAAGUGGAAUUCCAUGUGUAGCGGUGAAAUGCGCAGAGAUAUGGAGGAACACCAGUGGCGAAGGCGACUUUCUGGUCUGUAACUGACGCUGAUGUGCGAAAGCGUGGGGAUCAAACAGGAUUAGAUACCCUGGUAGUCCACGCCGUAAACGAUGAGUGCUAAGUGUUAGGGGGUUUCCGCCCCUUAGUGCUGCAGCUAACGCAUUAAGCACUCCGCCUGGGGAGUACGACCGCAAGGUUGAAACUCAAAGGAAUUGACGGGGA
RNAcentral lists this ribosomal RNA (876 nucleotides) under Staphylococcus warneri. RNAcentral describes it as "bacterial SSU rRNA". It matches the Rfam family "Bacterial small subunit ribosomal RNA", at positions 62 to 919 of the family's 1533-position model. The record is from RNAcentral. Lineage: Bacteria; Bacillati; Bacillota; Bacilli; Caryophanales; Staphylococcaceae.